UCCGGCUUAUCACCGGCAGUUUCUCUAGAGUGCCCAACUAAAUGAUGGCAACUAAAGACGAGGGUUGCGCUCGUUGCGGGACUUAACCCAACAUCUCACGACACGAGCUGACGACAGCCAUGCAGCACCUGUGUGUAGGUCCCGUAAGGGAAGGAAUCCAUCUCUGGAAGCCGUCCUACCAUGUCAAACGCUGGUAAGGUGGGGAUGACGUGUCGUUACCUUA
RNAcentral lists this unclassified non-coding RNA (223 nucleotides) under uncultured Sphingomonadaceae bacterium. Its description in RNAcentral is "contains 16S-23S intergenic spacer region". Lineage: Bacteria; Pseudomonadati; Pseudomonadota; Alphaproteobacteria; Sphingomonadales; Sphingomonadaceae. The record is from RNAcentral.